CUUCGCUGAUCAGCAUUUGUUGAAGCAGACAAGGUGUCUCCAUUUAAUAGCCCUUACUGGCUUGUUCUUCAAGGUUUCCCUUUUUGAACUCCUGUAAGCCUCGCUAUACCACAGAAGGGACUUCCUCCUCUCAGCUCUGUGCUGCAAGAAGAAACCAAUUCCCCUGGCUCCCUUUUAAUAGGCCACUCAAGAGCUUCACCUGGUGAAAACGCAGUUCCUCUUUGCCUGCUCACAGCUGUACCUCGCCUGUUCUCACAACACCUAGGUUGUUCCUCACGUAGCAGAGCAUCUCAGGCCUCGUUUGUUUCAGAAAUGGAAGGAGUUAAUCCCUUCCUUGGCAUGCUGCGAGCUGCAGCCAGCUGCCCGUGAAAUGGCAUCCCUGCUCCCGUGGAGUUCAUGUGUACACAAGCUCCUGAUAAGCGUGCUCUGCUGGGCUGCGCGUGGCCACCCCUCGCUCCUCAGCCAGGAGGGGUGCUUGGCGAGUUGCCGUGUAUUUUCAGGCUAAUUCUCCUCCAAAAGCUCUCCAGAGGUGGCUCACACCGAGCUAACCAGCCAUGUCAGCUCAAACCUUGGCCACACGGGGAGAGAAGUCCCACACGUUUCGCCUUCGUUUCAUGACUCACGGGGGCUCUGCUCGCUGCCAGAUGGAGCUGCACUGAGCCCUUCUCUGUGCUGACCGGGCUUUUACCUCCGUGCAAAAUACUGCUGCGGCCACAUGGCCCCAAAACGGGCAUCGGGGAGAUGGAGCUGCAUCCAGAACAUCUUGCUUAAUCCCACGGAUUCCAGUCCCUGCAGAAAUAGAAACAAUCACCUUCUCCCAGAGGAGCUUGCUGUAUCGAGUUUCCAGUGCUCAGAGUAACCAAGAUAAAUCAGUAUCAUCGUUGCGGCUGGUAGAUUAAAUGCUCCUUUCCUCUUAUGUUAA
Molecule: non-coding RNA, 922 nt
Organism: Anas platyrhynchos (mallard)
Lineage: Eukaryota; Metazoa; Chordata; Aves; Anseriformes; Anatidae
Source: RefSeq, a predicted model, not a curated record